CCUACGGGAGGCAGCAGUGGGGAAUUUUGGACAAUGGGCGAAAGCCUGAUCCAGCCAUUCCGCGUGCAGGAUGAAGGCCCUCGGGUUGUAAACUGCUUUUGUACGGAACGAAAAGGCUCUUGCUAAUACCAGGAGUCCAUGACGGUACCGUAAGAAUAAGCACCGGCUAACUACGUGCCAGCAGCCGCGGUAAUACGUAGGGUGCAAGCGUUAAUCGGAAUUACUGGGCGUAAAGCGUGCGCAGGCGGUUUUGUAAGACAGAGGUGAAAUCCCCGGGCUCAACCUGGGAACUGCCUUUGUGACUGCAAGGCUGGAGUGCGGCAGAGGGGGAUGGAAUUCCGCGUGUAGCAGUGAAAUGCGUAGAUAUGCGGAGGAACACCGAUGGCGAAGGCAAUCCCCUGGGCCUGCACUGACGCUCAUGCACGAAAGCGUGGGGAGCAAACAGGAUUAGAUACCCUGGUAGUCCACGCCCUAAACGAUGUCAACUGGUUGUUGGGAAUUUACUUUCUCAGUAACGAAGCUAACGCGUGAAGUUGACCGCCUGGGGAGUACGGCCGCAAGGCUAAACUCAAAGGAAUUGACGG
RNAcentral lists this ribosomal RNA (584 nucleotides) under uncultured bacterium. RNAcentral's name for it is "bacterial SSU rRNA". It matches the Rfam family "Bacterial small subunit ribosomal RNA", at positions 338 to 916 of the family's 1533-position model. The record is from RNAcentral.